Molecule: long non-coding RNA, 699 nt
Organism: Lates calcarifer (barramundi perch)
Lineage: Eukaryota; Metazoa; Chordata; Actinopteri; Centropomidae
Exons: 3
Source: RefSeq, a predicted model, not a curated record
CUAAAACUGUUGCUGCUGAGUGUGCAUCUUUGUGUAAGUGUGUCUGAGUGUGUUUAUGGAUGUGUGUGUGUGUGUGUGUGUGUGUAUUGGUGCUGGUGUGAGUGGACCAUACCACUGGGGUCAACUUGGGCCAGCUGCCUGGAGCUGAUGGAGUGAGCCACACACAUGCUGAACUGUGACCUUAAGAGAGAGAAGAGGAGGGAGUGAAGGGAAAGAAGAAGGAAGAGGAAAAAGGAAAAGGAGCCGCACACCGGCUUUCCUCCUGUAAAGGGAUCCUCCCUGGAAAGAUGGCCAGUGCAACCUCUCCGCCCACGGCCAGGCCUCACCUUGUGUGGGUGUGGGAGAGUCAGAUUGCAGCCUGUCAGGACCAGAUGCUCCAACCUACACAAACACACUUUAACCCUUCCUGCAUUGAUCUCUGCCUUCCUCUGUCUGAACGCUGAAAUCUCAGAUCAACAUUUUGUGCGUCUGCAGUCCUCAUGACCUCGAGGGACCGCAGAGAGGUCAGGGGUGAGGCAGCUACUUCUGCUCUUCACAACCUGACACUCCAGAAACAUGACAGCUGAGACCAGGAUGUGUGUUUGUGCACGUACAUACGUGUGUGUUCAUGUGUGCUAUUUGACACUCUGAAUAAAUAAACCGCAAUAUGUUCUGUGGAGAAACUGUUUAUUUGGAUGGAGGCUGACUGGUCUCUGAACA